RNAcentral lists this ribosomal RNA (17 nucleotides) under Caryospora bigenetica. RNAcentral's name for it is "large subunit ribosomal RNA". The record is from RNAcentral. RNAcentral also lists the same sequence under 2 other names. Lineage: Eukaryota; Apicomplexa; Conoidasida; Eucoccidiorida; Eimeriidae.
GAUAGCGUUAUAGCUCA